RNAcentral lists this ribosomal RNA (253 nucleotides) under uncultured bacterium. RNAcentral describes it as "partial 16S ribosomal RNA". It matches the Rfam family "Bacterial small subunit ribosomal RNA", at positions 524 to 776 of the family's 1533-position model. The record is from RNAcentral.
UACGUAGGGUGCAAGCGUUGUCCAGAAUUAUUGGGCGUAAAGAGCUCGUAGGCGGUUUGUCGCGUCGGCUGUGAAAACUCGGGGCUCAACCCCGAGCCUGCAGUCGAUACGGGCAGACUAGAGUGCUGUAGGGGAGACUGGAAUUCCUGGUGUAGCGGUGAAAUGCGCAGAUAUCAGGAGGAACACCGGUGGCGAAGGCGGGUCUCUGGGCAGUAACUGACGCUGAGGAGCGAAAGCGUGGGGAGCAAACAGG